Molecule: non-coding RNA, 45 nt
Filed under: Schistosoma mattheei
Lineage: Eukaryota; Metazoa; Platyhelminthes; Trematoda; Strigeidida; Schistosomatidae
Source: RNAcentral
AUCCAGAUGACGAGUCUCAAAUAAGAUAAGACGCGCGUCCUGGAC